Molecule: long non-coding RNA, 533 nt
Filed under: Dasypus novemcinctus (nine-banded armadillo)
Lineage: Eukaryota; Metazoa; Chordata; Mammalia; Cingulata; Dasypodidae
Description: lncRNA (ENSDNOG00000050611.1)
Source: RNAcentral
UGGGUGGCGCCAGUUAGGGAGCGCGGGUGCCCGCGGAGCAGGCUACCUCCGGGCGGGCAGGGGCCGGGGGUUGAGAAAAAGGGGGAGGGGGCGCCGGGGCGGGGCUUCCCGGGAGGGCGUGGCCUCGCCUCUCGGGCGUUCCGGGGCGGCCGAGCGAGCGCGCGCGGCCCCUGCGCACUCGGCCACCCGCUGCCGGCGUUGCGGGAAGCGCUGCGUUGUCGCCUCCGCAGCCCGCGAGCCCAGCCCCGGGAGGACGAACUCCUCCGCGGUGUCCGCGCCCGUGCCCCGAGCUCCGAGCCUGUCCGCCGCAGGUCGGAGGCGACGAGAGCUGGAGAAGAUGAGCAGACCUGCCGCUUUCCACUGACUGGCAGCGAUGGCGUUUGCUGAAGGAGUCAACAGCAGCAGCAACAGGUAAAAAUGAAAUCUGUAAUUAAAAGACAUGGCAAUAUUUGCUUUUUGAAUCUACUUUCCAACAUAUAAGUUCGGUCUUUUCAUUUUUGCAAUUUAUGAACCCUCCUGUGCAGGACUCCUGU